Molecule: long non-coding RNA, 837 nt
Organism: Aethina tumida (small hive beetle)
Lineage: Eukaryota; Metazoa; Arthropoda; Insecta; Coleoptera; Nitidulidae
Exons: 2
Source: RefSeq, a predicted model, not a curated record
UCAAGUGCCAAGCUAAAUUUGUUUAUGUUACUUCGUACUUAGUUUGAAUUGAGUAUAGUUCCACGAACUUACUGAUAAUUUCUUGAGUAUAAUUGAAAAGAUUUAAUAGACUUAAAACACCUGGACAGGGCAAAUGGUCAAAACUACCUGAAAAGUUUCUCUUUUCCCUUUGUCAAUCUGUCAACCCUACCAUCAAUACAAAGUUGAACAGUACGAUUAAACACCCUAAAGGAACUAAUUAAAAAAGAACUAGAAGCAGCUGCUAUAAAAACCGCAGAUAAACCGUCCACUUCAAAGGAGUCUCCUGAGACCAAAAAGGAACUUACCGCCGAAUCUUCCGCUUCAGAUUCCAAAUUCAAAAGAUGGAAGCUCAAAAGAGGAGGCACAUCUCAGGAAUAAUGCUAAUAAAUUAGAAAAAACAGGCAACGUACGACAGUUGUUGUCACUUUGACAUUUAUUAUCUAAAUUUAAAAUGUGAUGGGUUAAGUUUAAAAUGGAAGAAGAACCCUCGGGAUAUUCCAAUGUGUUGGAUGAAUUAAUCGACGUUAUUUCCAAUGAACUCCAAAAGACUCCAUCUCAAAGUUUUCCCAUUGAAGGACAGUCAAAAGUACCAUCUAAAACUUCUGUUGCAAGUAACUCCAAAAGCGAGGCCAAUGAAGACCAAGAAGAAAGAUCAAACAUAAUCAGACAGUUUGAAAUAAAACCUCCCGAUGAAACUAAACCAGGAAUUACGUAUGUCGUAAUAAUAACAAACUCAAAUAGCAAUUCAAGCAUGGCCUUUACCGACAGUAGCGUUUCUUCUGAUCUUUCUUCUGAAUAAUAAAUGUUUUAACAGUU